This 779-nucleotide long non-coding RNA is filed under the name Marmota monax (woodchuck). The record is from RNAcentral. Lineage: Eukaryota; Metazoa; Chordata; Mammalia; Rodentia; Sciuridae.
AGAGACCUCAACCUCGCUCCUGGCGCGUGGGGUCCCGAAGCAGACUCUUGGCUGGGCCCCACUCCUUCUCCAGCCCGACGCCGCCGCAGCCUCCGCUGAGGCUGAGAGUUGGCGAAACUCACUCACCUGGGGGAACCCGGAUCUGGCAGGAAGAAGGGCCUGGCGGCCGGAGCGUGCUGAUUACAGCAACCUUGGCAGGCAUCCCGACCCGCACCGGGACACCCGACCAGAAAGGCAGGUGUGAGGGCUGCUCCCGCCGACUCGAGCCCGCACUCUCCAGCUCCGCGGCCGCCCUCUUUUGCCCCCAGGUGCCAUUGGUUCGGGGUGUCCCGAGGGCUUACUCCGGCAGACGCCAGGGCUGCAGGUUCGAGACGCUCCGCCUCCUCCCGCCACUUAGAUCCACCAGCACCAGGAAGAACCUUUCCGUUCGGUCUUAGUCUGUGGUCACUGCUGAGGUUUACCGAACUUUCCAAGCAAGGGCCAGCCAGGUCCUUUGCCUCCACCUCAAGCCGCGCCUGCCGCUCGCCUGCGACACCUCUACGCCUGGGAGGUCCCACUCUCCCCUCCCGGCACCGAAACCCCAACUUUUUGUACGCGAUCUCCUUCGCCUAACUGGGUGUCCUGCUACUGUGCCAAAGAGCGCGCGCUUCUUCCCGGGGGCAGCAGUCUCCCAACCUCGCGGCUAAGCCCUUUUCCUCCUGGGAUCAAGUGUGGUGCUGGGUGAGCCCGGACCCGGGGUGCGUUUAAGCGCUCCCAGCGCUCAGCAUUCGCCCUUGCCU